This 492-nucleotide ribosomal RNA is filed under the name uncultured bacterium. RNAcentral's name for it is "partial 16S ribosomal RNA". It matches the Rfam family "Bacterial small subunit ribosomal RNA", at positions 29 to 507 of the family's 1533-position model. The record is from RNAcentral.
AGUGAACGCUGGCGGUAGGCCUAACACAUGCAAGUCGAACGGCAGCACAGUAAGAGCUUGCUCUUACGGGUGGCGAGUGGCGGACGGGUGAGGAAUACAUCGGAAUCUACUUUUUCGUGGGGGAUAACGUAGGGAAACUUACGCUAAUACCGCAUACGACCUACGGGUGAAAGCAGGGGAUCUUCGGACCUUGCGCGAUUGAAUGAGCCGAUGUCGGAUUAGCUAGUUGGCUGGGUAAAGGCCCACCAAGGCGACGAUCCGUAGCUGGUCUGCGAGGAUGAUCAGCCACACUGGAACUGAGACACGGUCCAGACUCCUACGGAAGGCAGCAGUGGGGAAUAUUGGACAAUGGGCGCAAGCCUGAUCCAGCCAUACCGCGUGGGUGAAGAAGGCCUUCGGGUUGUAAAGCCCUUUUGUUGGGAAAGAAAAGCAGCAGGUUAAUACCCCGCUGUUCUGACGGUACCCAAAGAAUAAGCACCGGCUAACUUCGUG